GUUUUUGUCAUAGGACCAUUUUUUAUUUUUUAUAUAGCUUAAAUGGUUGGACGAGCUCAUGACCCACGUGGUGUUAAGUGGUUACCGGAGCCCAUAGGUAUCUACAACGUAAAUGCCGCCACCCACCAACCUUGAGACAUGAUGUGUAAGGUCUCAGUUUUAACAGUACAACGGCUGCCCCACCCUUCACACCUAAACGCAUUACUGCUUCACGGCAGAAAUAGGCAGGGGUUGUGGUACCUACCCGUGAAGGCUCACAAGACAUCACAACAAACAAAUACUAAACGAAAAUAUCGAUUACAUAUGCUUAAACAUAUACUUUAUUUACAUUUCAGAUAAUAUUUAUAUGCAAAACUACAAUUCCGUUUACUGAAAAUCAAUUUGUUCUGUACUUUGAUACACCUAAAACAUUAGCUGGGAUAGCUCCUUCUGUCCUAUCUUUGCUUUGUAUUAUUUUUAUUUUUUUAUUGCUUAGAUUGGUGGACGAGCUCACAGCCCACCUGGUGUUAAGUGGUUACUGGAGCCCAUAGAUAUCCAGAACGUAAAUGCGCCAUCCACCUUGAGAUAUAAGUUCUAAGUCUCAAGUAUAGUUACAACGGCUGCCCUGCCCUUCAAACCGAAACGCAUUACUGCUUCACGGCAGAAAUAGGCAGGGUGGUGGUACCCACCCGCGCGGACUCACAAGAGGUCCUACCACCAGUAAAACCAGUUUGUUGUUGUUAUUAUUACGAAGAACAUCAAAAUGAUGUCAUAUCAAUUGGCGAUAUCUUUGACUCUCCAGAUUAUGAACUCAGAUUGUAGCCAUCGGUCUUGAAGUAGUAUAUACCAGUUGCAUUUCCAGGAUUCCAAUAGCCGGCUAUGGACAUUUCGCUGGUUGCACAUCUUCCCUUCUUGAAGUCCUUAUACGAGUUGCAUUUCCAUGCCGGGAACCAUUCUGGAUGUCUCACUGACGCAGUCCAAAUGUCAAUGCAAGUUCUGUGAUUGCACGAAGCCGCUUUUGGCGAGUCAAAGAUGCCGGGAAUCCAAGGAGUGCUGCAGUUGGGUUGGGUUUGUCCGUUUUUGUUAAUGAAGAAGUCCACAUCGCCUAAUACGCUGGAACUACCCAAACC
Molecule: long non-coding RNA, 1109 nt
Organism: Bombyx mori (domestic silkworm)
Lineage: Eukaryota; Metazoa; Arthropoda; Insecta; Lepidoptera; Bombycidae
Exons: 2
Source: RefSeq, a predicted model, not a curated record